RNAcentral lists this ribosomal RNA (759 nucleotides) under uncultured Lysobacteraceae bacterium. Its description in RNAcentral is "bacterial SSU rRNA". It matches the Rfam family "Bacterial small subunit ribosomal RNA", at positions 28 to 776 of the family's 1533-position model. Lineage: Bacteria; Pseudomonadati; Pseudomonadota; Gammaproteobacteria; Lysobacterales; Lysobacteraceae. The record is from RNAcentral.
AUUGAACGCUGGCGGCAUGCCUAACACAUGCAAGUCGAACGGCAGCACAGCAGAGCUUGCUCUGUGGGUGGCGAGUGGCGGACGGGUGAGUAAUGCAUCGGGACCUACCCAGACGUGGGGGAUAACGUAGGGAAACUUACGCUAAUACCGCAUACGUCCUACGGGAGAAAGCGGGGGACCUUCGGGCCUCGCGCGGUUGGAUGGACCGAUGUUCGAUUAGCUAGUUGGUAGGGUAAUGGCCUACCAAGGCGACGAUCGAUAGCUGGUCUGAGAGGAUGAUCAGCCACACUGGGACUGAGACACGGCCCAGACUCCUACGGGAGGCAGCAGUGGGGAAUAUUGGACAAUGGGCGCAAGCCUGAUCCAGCAAUGCCGCGUGUGUGAAGAAGGCCUUCGGGUUGUAAAGCACUUUUAUCAGGAGCGAAAUACUAUCGGUUAAUAACCGGUGGGGCUGACGGUACCUGAGGAAUAAGCACCGGCUAACUUCGUGCCAGCAGCCGCGGUAAUACGAAGGGUGCAAGCGUUAAUCGGAAUUACUGGGCGUAAAGGGUGCGUAGGCGGUUAGUUAAGUCUGUUGUGAAAUCCCCGGGCUCAACCUGGGAAUGGCAAUGGAUACUGGCUAGCUAGAGUGUGUCAGAGGAUGGUGGAAUUCCCGGUGUAGCGGUGAAAUGCGUAGAGAUCGGGAGGAACAUCAGUGGCGAAGGCGGCCAUCUGGGACAACACUGACGCUGAAGCACGAAAGCGUGGGGAGCAAACAGG